AUUGAACGCUGGCGGCAUGCUUUACACAUGCAAGUCGAACGGCAGCGGGGGCUUCGGCCUGCCGGCGAGUGGCGAACGGGUGAGUAAUACAUCGGAACGUGUCCUUGAGUGGGGAAUAACGCAUCGAAAGAUGUGCUAAUACCGCAUAUUUCUCAGGAAGAAAGCAGGGGGUCGAAAGACCUUGCGCUAAGGGAGCGGCCGAUGUCUUAUUAGCUAGUUGGUGAGGUAAAGGCUUACCAAGGCAACGAUCAGUAGCUGGUCUGAGAGGACGAUCAGCCACACUGGGACUGAGACACGGCCCAG
This 303-nucleotide ribosomal RNA is filed under the name uncultured Nitrosomonas sp. Its description in RNAcentral is "bacterial SSU rRNA". It matches the Rfam family "Bacterial small subunit ribosomal RNA", at positions 30 to 334 of the family's 1533-position model. Lineage: Bacteria; Pseudomonadati; Pseudomonadota; Betaproteobacteria; Nitrosomonadales; Nitrosomonadaceae. The record is from RNAcentral.